UACGUAGGCUGCAAGCGUUGUUCGGAAUUACUGGGCGUAAAGAGUGUGUAGGCGGUGCUCCAAGUCUGGUGUGAAAUCUCCCGGCUUAACUGGGAGGGUGCAUUAGAAACUGGAAUGCUAGAGGAUGGGAGAGGUAAGCGGAAUUCCUGGUGUAGCGGUGAAAUGCGUAGAUAUCAGGAGGAACACCUGUGGUGUAGACAGCUUACUGGACCAUUUCUGACGCUGAGACACGAAAGCGUGGGUAGCAAACAGG
RNAcentral lists this ribosomal RNA (253 nucleotides) under uncultured bacterium. RNAcentral's name for it is "partial 16S ribosomal RNA". It matches the Rfam family "Bacterial small subunit ribosomal RNA", at positions 524 to 776 of the family's 1533-position model. The record is from RNAcentral.